RNAcentral lists this non-coding RNA (21 nucleotides) under Arabidopsis thaliana (thale cress). The record is from RNAcentral. Lineage: Eukaryota; Viridiplantae; Streptophyta; Magnoliopsida; Brassicales; Brassicaceae.
UUAGAGUGCUCAAAGCAAGCC